UAGGGUUUAGGUUUAUAGUCUAUUUUUUGGGUUUAAGGUAUAUAAUUUGGAUUUAGGGUCUAGGAUUAGGGUUUAGGGUAUAGGGUUUGGAUUUAGGGUCUAGGAUUAGAGUUUAGGGUAUAGGGUUUUGGUUUAAGGGUUUGGAUUUGAGUUUAGAAUUUAGGGUAUAGGGUUUAUAAUUUAAAAUUUAGGGUUUAGGGUUUCGCUGGAAGCGUUAGCGUCGUUAAAAUUAGCAUUUUUUAUUUUUUGUAGCUAUUUUUUGGUUAAUUUAAUAUUUUUUAAUUAAUUAUCUAUGUGGAAAAUUGAUUGGUCAUAAAUAGUGGGGUGAAUUUAAAGGUUCACCCUAGGGGGUGAACCUAAGUUCUGUCCA
This 370-nucleotide long non-coding RNA is filed under the name Brassica rapa (field mustard). RNAcentral's name for it is "long non-coding RNA (BRAP_LNC003822)". Lineage: Eukaryota; Viridiplantae; Streptophyta; Magnoliopsida; Brassicales; Brassicaceae. The record is from RNAcentral.